This 496-nucleotide ribosomal RNA is filed under the name uncultured bacterium. RNAcentral's name for it is "partial 16S ribosomal RNA". It matches the Rfam family "Bacterial small subunit ribosomal RNA", at positions 28 to 507 of the family's 1533-position model. The record is from RNAcentral.
GAUGAACGCUGGCGGCGUGCCUAAUACAUGCAAGUCGAGCGAACGGACGAGAAGCUUGCUUUUCUGAUGUUAGCGGCGGACGGGUGAGUAACACGUGGAUAACCUACCUAUAAGACUGGGAUAACUUCGGGAAACCGGAGCUAAUACCGGAUAAUAUUUUGAACCGCAUGGUUCAAAAGUGAAAGACGGUCUUGCUGUCACUUAUAGAUGGAUCCGCGCUGCAUUAGCUAGUUGGUAAGGUAACGGCUUACCAAGGCAACGAUGCAUAGCCGACCUGAGAGGGUGAUCGGCCACACUGGAACUGAGACACGGUCCAGACUCUACGGGAGGCAGCAGUAGGGAAUCUUCCGCAAUGGGCGAAAGCCUGACGGAGCAACGCCGCGUGAGUGAUGAAGGUCUUCGGAUCGUAAAACUCUGUUAUUAGGGAAGAACAUAUGUGUAAGUAACUGCGCACAUCUUGACGGUACCUAAUCAGAAAGCCACGGCUAACUACGUG